Molecule: ribosomal RNA, 840 nt
Filed under: uncultured bacterium
Lineage: Bacteria
Description: bacterial SSU rRNA
Rfam family: Bacterial small subunit ribosomal RNA
Source: RNAcentral
UGGCGAACGGGUGAGUAAUGCGUAAGUAACCUGCCCCUAAGUAGGGGACAACUCUGAGAAAUCGGAGCUAAUACCUUAUGUGGUGGUGGAGGUGAGGCUCCAUCACAAAAGCCUUCGGGUGCUUAGGGAGGGGCUUGCGUCCUAUCAGGUAGUUGGUAGGGUAACGGCCUACCAAGCCAAUGACGGGUAGCUGGUCUGAGAGGACGGCCAGCCACACUGGGACUGAGACACGGCCCAGACUCCUACGGGAGGCAGCAGCAAGGAAUAUUGUGCAAUGGGCGAAAGCCUGACACAGCGACGCCGCGUGGGGGAAGAAGGCCUUCGGGUUGUAAACCCCUUUUCUCAGGGAAGAAUAAUGACGGUACCUGAGGAAUAAGUCUCGGCUAACUACGUGCCAGCAGCCGCGGUAAUACGUAGGAGACGAGCGUUAUCCGGAUUUACUGGGCGUAAAGAGGGCGUAGGCGGUCUUUCAAGUCGGAUGUGAAAUCUCCCGGCUUAACUGGGAGGGGUCAUUCGAUACUGUUGGGCUAGAGGGCAGCAGGGGGAGGUGGAAUUCCCGGUGUAGUGGUGAAAUGCGUAGAUAUCGGGAGGAACACCAGUGGCGAAGGCGGCCUUCUGGGCUGUUUCUGACGCUGAGGCCCAAAAGCGUGGGGAGCGAACAGGAUUAGAUACCCUGGUAGUCCACGCUGUAAACGAUGGACACUAGGUAUGGGGAGUAUCGACCCUUUCCGUGCCGAAGCUAACGCUUUAAGUGUCCCGCCUGGGGACUACGGCCGCAAGGCUAAAACUCAAGGAAUUGACGGGGGCCUGCACAAGCAGCGGAGCGUGCGGUUUAAUUCG